CUUGAUUUAGAAUAUUUGGAGUACCUAGAAAAUAAAUUUUAUUAUUUUUCGAUAUCAUUUGCCCAGUGAUUGAAUGGGCUCAAAAUCAACAAAUUUUAAUGGCCAUAGUGAGCCGUUUGUAAGUUUAACGGUGUAGAAAUAUCCAAAUCAUGUGAAAUUUUGAUAGAAAAUUUUUAUACUAUAUAAAACAAGAUCAAUAUCUUUGAUUUAAAAUUUUAAUGUCAUAUUAUUACAUUUUGUAAGAUUUUUAUUUUUAGCCGUUGAUUUUGAGCCCCUUCGUUCACUAAGCAAAUGAUAUCGAAAAAUUGCAAAAUUUAUUUUCUACGUAUUUCAAAUACUCUAUAUCAAGUUUAACGGAGCCGAUCGAUGAUUCAAAAGUCGCAACAUCAAAAAUGAGCUGGAAGCAUGAAAUGCUCUGUGUUUCUAGAAGUAUAGUAGUAAUUAAAUAGUAUUUGAUAUAUG
Molecule: long non-coding RNA, 462 nt
Filed under: Ananas comosus (pineapple)
Lineage: Eukaryota; Viridiplantae; Streptophyta; Magnoliopsida; Poales; Bromeliaceae
Description: long non-coding RNA (ACOM_LNC014043)
Source: RNAcentral